UCUGAGAGGAUGAACGGCCACAAUGGAACUGAGACACGGUCCAUACUCCUACGGGAGGCAGCAGUGGGGAAUAUUGCACAAUGGGGGAAACCCUGAUGCAGCAACGCCGCGUGAGUGAAGAAGGUUUUCGGAUUGUAAAGCUCUGUUAGCAGGGAAGAGGAAGGACGGUACCUGCAGAGGAAGCCACGGCUAACUACGUGCCAGCAGCCGCGGUAAUACGUAGGUGGCAAGCGUUGUUCGGAAUAACUGGGCGUAAAGGAUGCGUAGGCGGUUGAGUAAGUUAUGUGUUAAAUAUAUAGGCUUAACCUGUAGAAAGCACAUAAAACUGUUUAACUAGAGUGCAGGAGAGGUAAGUGGAAUUCCUAGUGUAGCGGUGAAAUGCGUAGAGAUUAGGAAGAACACCAGUGGCGAAGGCGACUUACUGGACUGUAACUGACGCUGAGGCAUGAGAGCAUGGGGAGCAAACAGGAUUAGAUACCCUGGUAGUCCAUGCUGUAAACGAUGGGUACUAGGUGUGGGUUGUGAAUAACA
This 531-nucleotide ribosomal RNA is filed under the name uncultured bacterium. Its description in RNAcentral is "bacterial SSU rRNA". It matches the Rfam family "Bacterial small subunit ribosomal RNA", at positions 291 to 838 of the family's 1533-position model. The record is from RNAcentral.